CCUACGGGCGGCAGCAGUCGAGAAUCAUUCACAAUGGGGGAAACCCUGAUGGUGCGACGCCGCGUGGGGGAAUGAAGGUCUUCGGAUGGUAAACCCCUGUCAUGUGGGAGCAAAUUAAAAAGAUAGUACCACAAGAGGAAGAGACGGCUAACUCUGUGCCAGCAGCCGCGGUAAUACAGAGGUCUCAAGCGUUGUUCGGAAUCACUGGGCGUAAAGCGUGCGUAGGCUGUUUCGUAAGUCGUGUGUGAAAGGCGCGGGCUCAACCCGCGGACGGCACAUGAUACUGCGAGACUAGAGUAAUGGAGGGGGAACCGGAAUUCUCGGUGUAGCAGUGAAAUGCGUAGAUAUCGAGAGGAACACUCGUGGCGAAGGCGGGUUCCUGGACAUUAACUGACGCUGAGGCACGAAGGCGAGGGGAGCGAAAGGGAUUAGAUACCCCUGUAGUC
Molecule: ribosomal RNA, 446 nt
Filed under: uncultured bacterium
Lineage: Bacteria
Description: partial 16S ribosomal RNA
Rfam family: Bacterial small subunit ribosomal RNA
Source: RNAcentral